Mus musculus (house mouse) is the source of this 365-nucleotide non-coding RNA. Lineage: Eukaryota; Metazoa; Chordata; Mammalia; Rodentia; Muridae. The record is from the annotation of a RefSeq genome assembly.
AUGGAGUUUCAGACCCAGGUACUCAUGUCCCUGCUGCUCUGCAUGUCUGGUGCCUGUGCAGACAUUGUGAUGACUCAGUCUCCAACUUUCCUUGCUGUGACAGCAAGUAAGAAGGUCACCAUUAGUUGCACGGCCAGUGAGAGCCUUUAUUCAAGCAAACACAAGGUGCACUACUUGGCUUGGUACCAGAAGAAACCAGAGCAAUCUCCUAAACUGCUGAUAUACGGGGCAUCCAACCGAUACAUUGGGGUCCCUGAUCGCUUCACAGGCAGUGGAUCUGGGACAGAUUUCACUCUGACCAUCAGCAGUGUACAGGUUGAAGACCUCACACAUUAUUACUGUGCACAGUUUUACAGCUAUCCUCU